UUGCUCACUUUCGCAGCACAUCUAGUAAGCUUGGAACAAUACAGAGAAGAUUAGCAUGGCCCCAUGAACGAAUGACACACAAAUUCAGGAAGCAUUCCAUAUUAAA
RNAcentral lists this small nuclear RNA (106 nucleotides) under Chinchilla lanigera (long-tailed chinchilla). Lineage: Eukaryota; Metazoa; Chordata; Mammalia; Rodentia; Chinchillidae. The record is from RNAcentral.